AAACUGAAGAUGGCGGCCGGCGCACGGGUGAGUAACACGUAUCCAACCUGCCGAUAACUCUGGAAUAGCCUUUCGAAAGAAAGAUUAAUACCGGAUAGUAUACGAAUAUCGCAUGAUAUUUUUAUUAAAGAAUUUCGGUUAUCGAUGGGGAUGCGUUCCAUUAGUUUGUUGGCGGGGUAACGGCCCACCAAGACUACGAUGGAUAGGGGUUCUGAGAGGAAGGUCCCCCACAUUGGAACUGAGACACGGUCCAAACUCCUACGGGAGGCAGCAUG
This 275-nucleotide ribosomal RNA is filed under the name uncultured bacterium. Its description in RNAcentral is "partial 16S ribosomal RNA". It matches the Rfam family "Bacterial small subunit ribosomal RNA", at positions 79 to 353 of the family's 1533-position model. The record is from RNAcentral.